GCUUGAGAUUCUCUCUUUCCUUCUCCCUCUGUGCCUCCCCUUGCUCUCUCACUUUCUCUCUCUCCCUCUCAAAUAAAUAAAUAAAUCUUUAAAAAAGAAGAAAAAGAAAUAUGAGAUAAUCAAUAAGGAAAACUGACCGCUAAUCAGAAAUUUAACUAUGAGAACAAAAAUUCCUUUGGGCAAAAUUUGGUGAGCACAUUCCCUCUUUAUGAGACUCCAAAGAGCCCACCCAAUGUCAUGGGGAACAAACUAGUUGAAACAAUGUCAUGUUAUUUUAAAGAACUCCACCGUGCUCAGUUAUCUUAGCCAAAUAUGGGGGUAGUAAAGUAGAAGUGCAUUGUGUGUCAAAGUAGACAGCGGUCAAGGGGUAAAUCAAACCUAGUUAGAGGCUCUGAGGUCAGGACUGAAGAUGUUCCUGGCCAGUAUGACAGUUUGAUUCAUUAAAAGAACACUAACAGCAAACGAAACUCAUUUUUCAUUAUACAAAAAAGUAAUAAUGUUCUAUGAUUCAUAACUAUAUAUUUCCUUUACUUGUGUUAAAAAGCUAAGAAAGCUCAAUUGAAAUUAUUAAUGUUUACUCUUUGGAAUCCAGAAAUGUGCCAUUUGAUGAUUUUUCAGCUAUUACAUGCACGCCCAGGUGCUCUGUAUAGAUUCUAACAUUAUUGGAGUAUUUUGUAUGUGCAAAGGCCUGUUAGAAAACUUCUGCCCUUACCUCCCUCUCCUUCACACACAUACAUCUCUGCUUUCCUAAGUAAAAGGCUGUAGCAUUGUGCUUUAUAGAUUGUACAUUACAUAUUAGGCAACGAGAUAUGUGAAGUACACUUGAUCCCAAGCCUUAUCCCUCACUGAUUGUAAGAUCUUCAGCAAGUCCAUUUCUGAAUUACAGCUUCUACAUCUGUAGAAUGGAGCUAAGAAUACCUUUUUAUUGGUGGUUUUAUAAACAGGUUCUUUAAUUUUUUGACACUCCUCCCAUCCUCCCAUUGAGAGGUAGAAUCCAAUUCCCUCCCUUAAACAUGUCCCAGACUUCGUGACUCAUGUCUAAAGAAUGGAAUGUGGCAGAAAUAAUACCAUGUGACUUCUGAGACGAAGUUCUCCCUGGCUCUCUCCCUUGGAAUGAUUGCUCUUGGAACCCAACCACUUCACCAUUUGGUGGAAAAGCCAAGCUGCCACAAGGAAAGAUCCCACAUAAGUAUUCCAACAACGGUUCCAGAUGAACUCCCAGAUGACAACCAACAUCAGCUACCAGAUACGUGAAUGAGUUUUCAGAUUGUUCUCUCCCCCAAUCUUUGAGCCACCCCAGCUGACACUGAGCACAGCAGAAACUGUCUCCUCCAAGUUCUCCCAAAAUUAUAGAGUCAGGAGCAAAUAGAUACUGUUACUAGUUUAAGCCAUUACGUUUUUGGGUGGUUUGUUGUACAGCAACAAAUAAUUGGAACAGAUUUUGGUACCAUGACAAAACUGAAAACAUGUAGCAAUGACUUCAGGACUGGUCAGACUGCAGAAUUUGGGAAGGUCUUCGAGAAAUUGUUAGUGGAAGCUUAAUGGCUUUUUUUUUUUUAAGAUUUAUUUAUUUAUUUUAGAGAGCAGUGGGGGAAGGGGCAGAGGGAGAAGGAGAGAGAGAAUCUCAAGCAGGCUCCAAAGCCAAUGCAGAGCCCACACGGGGCUCCAUCUCACCUCCGUGAGAUCAUGACCUGAGCUGAAAUCAAGAAUUGGACGCUUAACUGACUGAGACACCCAGGCGCUCCAGCUUCAUGGCUUUUGAAGAGGUUAUUGGUGAGGGUUGACAGGAAAGUAAGGAAAAUGUUAUUGGGAGCUGUCAUAAAGUGGUAGAAAGUUCAGCAACACUGUCGAUCUGUGGUAAUACGGAAAACAGAAAAUACACAGAUUAACAGAAUGACCUAAGGCAGCAUGACAGGGGCUGCCUGGUUUUUCCCUGGCUGCAGCAAAAUGCAAGAGGAGAGAGAGAAGAAAGAACUGUUGCGUACAAAGGACCCAGGAACUGCCGGGUUGGAAAAUAACAGUUUCUCUUUUCCCACCUCUCCAAGUGGCAAAUGAAAUGGCUUCCAGGUAAAGAUCGGAUUCAGAGUGAUCUCAGGAAACCACAGUUCAAAGGUGAGGCCACCAGUGUGACUAAGUGCUGGCAAAGAUUUCAGGUGUUGCUUUGUCGACGUUUGCAAGUGGAGGAAAAGGCCCACAAAUGGAAAGGGGGUUACCAGACGGCAGCUUUGGAGAAUCUAAGGUAAAGAAUGGCUAAGCGAGAUUUAUGGGAGUAGCUUUUGCCUGAGUUGCUGAUACACUGAUUCAUAAGAAGCCCACAACUUUUUUUUUUUUUAAUUACAAUCAUUCUAGACUGAGAGGGCCAGUCUGGCUAUUGGAUCCCCAGACUUCUAAGGUCUGAGAGCCACCUGAAGAACUAUGAGCGGUAAACAUGGGCUCUUUUAGUGGAGAAGGAAGACUGGCUCCAGGGAUGGAACCAGGGGUGCAGUGGGUGGAGCCAAAAGCUACUUCCAGGAAGUAGCGCUGAGUCCUGAUGGAGGAAUUGGCGAAUUGAGCUCAGGUGGGAUUCGGAGCUCUUGUGUCCCAGGGAUGGCUGUACGCCUCCUGCUUUUCUUUUUUGAACAGAAGUGUGUAUAGUGCUGAUCCUGGGAGUGUCCCACCACCGUAUAUUAGACGUGGUUGGCAGCUGGCUUGUCUCUUGAUUCAUCGGCCUUCAGAUUGAGAGGAGCUGCAUCUGGAGCAGAGUACCCAAGGAGCCUCUGCUCCACCUGCACCUGAUUUAUGUGUGCAGAUCAUGACCCUCAAGCUUGAGUGUGAGGCUACAGCAGGUGCAACGUUUAAGUGGUCUAGGUAUGGGGUGUGUGUGCGUGUGUGCGUGUGCUGGGUGAUGAGUGUAUUUUGCAUGUAGGGGAAAAUGUAAAUUAUUUAUGUACAGUGGGUGCGUUGUGAUCAUCUUAAAACAUAUCCAUAAAUUAUUUCAAAUUCUUCCCAACAAAAAACAGAGCCUAAUUUCCCUUUCUUUGAAUCAUAGUUGGCUUCAGUGACUUGCUUCUAACAAAUAGAAUAUGGCAGAAGUGAUACUGUGUUACUUCUCAGACAAGAUUACAAAACGAGAGACAGCUUUCACCUUGUUUUCUUUUUCUUGGGAUGUUUGCCUUUGGUAACCCAGCUGCCAUUUUAGUAGGAAGCCAACAGCCACAUGAAAAGGCCAUGAAUAGGUGUUUGGCCCCAGCUGCAGCUGAGGUCCCGGCUCACAGCCAGCAUGAACCAGCAAACUGUGAGUAAACGAGUUUCCUGAGGGCCUCAGCCAUCAGUCUCAAGCCACCCCAGAUGAUAGGGGUGCCAUAUCCUUACUGGGUGCAAAGGGAGCAAAGACAAACUGUCCUUGCUCAGCCCUGCUCAAAUUACAAUUCAUGUGAGAAAUAAAUGCAGUCAUUGUUUUAAGACACUAAGCUUUGGGGUGGUUUGUGAAGCAGCAGAUACCCAGGUACUGAUUUGCAAAUCUCUACUAGAAAUAUCCACAUAUCUAAACAAAACCUUGUAACAGUUACAACAUUUUAUGCAUUAUAAAUUACAGUUGCUUUAUGGUCCCUAGCUUUAUCACUGCCUAACUCUGGGGCCUUCAGUAGACCAGUCUUCUGAGUUUCAUUUUCUGUGAUUGUAAGAUAUAAAAAUACUUGUCUUUUAAAAAACCAUUUAUGAAGAUUAUAUAGCAACAAGGAAAAUGAUGAUAUAUUGUAGGUUAUAAAACUGGAUUCAAAUGAUUACAACUGUAAAAAUGUGCAGAUGAGAAAUAGAUUAGAUUAGUGGGCUUAAAAUAAUUUUCCAAAUUUCUGUGAGAUUAUUUACUUUAGUAAUCAAAAAAACGUUAAGUGCUUAAAAAAAUCCCAUUGCGAAUUCCCAGCCCAAACUUGGGGAAUGGGUUGGGUUAUUUCUUCUCACUGACCUCCCUGCUGGUUAAAUCAUGUAAAGUGGCUUGGAAGAGGAAUGGGGACAAAAUAACAUCCUGUUACUUGGAGUUUGGAGGGCAAUCAAGGAUAUACUCCAGAACUCAGAUUUCCUGCCUCUCUGGCCAGUGCACCAUUCCCUUACACUGUAGGCUCUUAAUACUAGUUAGUUUUUUACCUAUAUGGGUUAAGCAUGAAAACCAAUGCCACAUUAAAUAUUCUUCUUUUAAAUAAGCAGCAAUCCCAGCUAUCUGAGCUCAGAAGCCAUGGAAUCCAAUGGUCAGGGGCAUGGGUUGGAAACCUGCCUCCCCCAAGUACUGUUUGGGGUCUUUGCAGAUGUAAGUAAGGAUCUUGAGUGGAGAUCAUCCUGGAUUACACAGAUGGGUCCUAAAUCCAAUGAUAAGUGUUCUUAUAAGAGAGGAAGACAGCAGAAGACCAUGUGAGGAUGGAAGUAGAGAUUGGGGUUAUGUAGCCACAAACUGAGGAAUGUCUGGAGCCAUCAGAAGGUGGAAGUGGCAAAGAAGCGUUUCUCCUUUAGGGCCCCAGGGGGAACACAGCCCUGUGGGCACCUUGAUUUCAGGCUUCUAGCCCUCAGAACUGUGAGAGAAUACAUUUCUGUUGUUUUAAGCCACCGCGUGUGGGCUAAUUUGUUAUGGCGGCUCUAGCAGACUAGUGGAAUGGGUGAAUCUCACAACCACAACAUUGAACGAAAAAAAUACUCAGGAUACAGGGAAAAAUGAUAUUUAAAUAAAGUUUUAAAAACAUGAAAACUGAUACUUUGCAUUAUAUUAAUAUAUAUUAAUAUAUUAUAUAUUAAUAAAAACAUAAAGAAACAAAUGGGAAUGAUAAACACCAAAUUUAGGAAGUGGGAACUGUGAAGGAAAACGAGGGAACACAGUGGGGGUACACAGAGGGCUCCAGAUGUAUUGAUAAUACUGUGUUAAGCUGAGUGAAGAGGUCAAGCAUGAUCAAUAUCAUAUUUUAAUUUUUUAUUUAAUUUUUUAUAUUAAUGGGUCUUGCUGCUUUUUGUUUGUUUUAAGAUUUUAUUUAUUUAUUUGACAGAGAGAGACACAGCGAGAGAGGGAGCACAAGCAGGGGGAGUGGGAGAGGGAGAAGCAGGCUUCCCACUGAGCAGGGAGCCCGAUGCGGGGCUCGAUCCCAGGACCCUGGGAUCAUGAGCUGAGCUGAAGGCAGACCCUUAACGACUGAGCCACCCAGGCGCCCCUCAAUAUCAUAUUUUUAAUACCAUUGUGUAGGACUAAACUAUUUCAUAAUAAAUUUAAAAUCAUGUUUAAAAGGAAAAAAGGAGAAGGACAAGAAGGAAGGUUGAUAGCACCUUGAGGGCGGGAGCUUCUUUCUUGGGUAAUGCGUGACCUUUCAAAUGUCAGCCAGAACAACAUGAUUUGGUGCAUGUGUUGUCUCCUGAUACUUAAUAAGCAGAUGAAAAUCACUUUGUUAGUAUUCAGAGUUCUGAUGUCAUUUAUAAAUAAUUCCAGUAGUAACCUUUUUCAUUGGAAAAACACCUGUGUAGUGCUGACUCUGAUUACUCCCUGUGGAUAUUGCUUAGCUAAAAAUUAAUAUAUCAUACUUUCUAGAAUGACAGACUGUGGGCUGGAAUAAGAGAAAACAGUAAUUUAUAAGAUGGAGUAAUCACUGGACGAUCCAGGUACUAUUUACUGACUUUCUUCUUUGUUCUCAAGCCAGCAAAAUUAUUGAGUCCACAAUCCCAGAGUCCUUUAUUAGGCUUAAUCUUAGGUUGUCUAUCAAAAACAAUACUGUCGUGGAUUAAUAAGCACCACAAACCCAUAAUAAGCGGCACAGGCCUUUCGUCCUCCGUGGCAGUAAGUGAGCUCAGCUGAAGCAUUAUCAAAGUGUGACUGACUAGCUGGGCUGCCAAGCCCUUGCUCCCUUAGUGUGGCUGAAGCGCCUCCCUGGCUGCGCUCUCUGGAAUAUCCACGAGGUGGCAGCAACUCCUCGGCAGCCAACCAGGGGCUCCACGGGCAACUGCGGCCGCCAUUGACUUCCUCCUCACCAACAGGGCGGUUGUAGUUUCAAAGUCAGAUUUGGUUGUUUCUUUUAGAGCUGGGAUUUAGAGCAGUCUCACAUUUCUUCCUUCGUUUUUUUCGGUACACUAGGUGAAAUACUUUAUUAUGUUUAAAACAUGCCUAUUUUCCAAAUUUACUAGGCCUGUGAAUAAUUUUAAGUAAGACAUUUAUAUUGUGAAGGCACAGGGGAAGUCAACAUCUGCAAUAACCAAAGAAACAGAUGAUCUUUCAAACAAUUUGCAUUUUAUAAAGGGCGGAAUCAUGAUAGCAGGUAAAAUAUGGCUGGUACCAGGGGUCUCUUCUUGCAGGGCGCUUUCGCCCAAAUCCAGACUCAGCUGGGAAAUGUCACAUCAAGUCUCUAGUCUGCUUACUCUGUCUUACAGUGCCCAGAUUCGGAAGCUCUGAGCCCUUGAGCACCUAGGCCCCUAAAAGGAUGAUUAGAUAAUAGUGGUCCUCAGAAAUUUCUGAGCUGACACUGCCUUUUUUUUUCUUCUUUUUUUAAGUUGGCUCCACACCCAGCAUGGAGCCCCACAGGGGGAUGAACUCAAGACCCUGAGAUAAGAUUUGAGCUGAGAUCAAGAGUCAGAUGCUUAACUGACUGAGCCACCCAGGUGCCCCACCUAAUUUUCAGUGAACAUGCUGGCGUCCAUAAAUUAAAUUUCACCCUUUGGAAGAUGAGCAUUGCUCGGGGUGAUUGCCUCAGCACCCUGGCUGCCCUUCAGGGCCAGUUCAACAUGGAUGUGUCCCCUCACUGUCCAGGAGCCCACAAUCCCGCCAUAGGCUUUUCUGGAACUGCACAACCACGACUGGCUGACAAGUCUUCCUGUAGAGUGAUAGCACAGGAUCAGCAAGCUGUAGCUGUGGAGAGAGACCCACAAGGCAAGGAAUGAGGACCAGAGAGGACAACCAGAGAGGAACUGAAGCUCUGAGACCAACAGUCCAGGAGGAACGGACUCUUGCCAACAGCCCAGGAGGAAUGGACUCUUGCGAACAACCAAGGUUGAAUUUGCACUGGGAAUCAGCUACUCAGGACUACAUCUCCCAACCCUCCUUGCAUCUAAGUGGAGCCAUAUUACUAAUGUCUGCCAAUGGAAUGGGAGUAGAAAUGAUGUGCACCACUCCAGGCCUGGCUGCCCCCACCACCUCCCCAGCACCCACUUCAUAUACACUUCGUGUCCCUUCACCGGCUGGAGGCAGAGGUCUAGUAAAUAUUUUAGGUUCUGUUAACCACAUAAUCUCUGUUAAAACUUCUCUGAUCAUUUUGCAAUAUAUACAAAUAUCAAAUUAUUAUGUUGUAUACCUGAUUAAUAUAAUGUUGUAUGUCAAUUAUACCUCAAUUAAAAAAUAAGUAACUAAUGGGUCCUGUCCUUAUGCUUUAAUAAAACCGCCUUUUUGCACCAAAAAAAGGUAAAUAAAAUGUGAAACAAAACAAAAACAACCUGUUCAAUUCUGACAGCAUGGCACAAAUGCAGCCAUCAACAAUAGAACAAGUGGCUGUGGCUGUGUUGCAACAAAACUUUAUUUCCACAGACAGGCAGGGGUGGGCUGGAUUUGGUUCUCAGGAGGUCUAUAUUUUUGCGCUGCCUUUGUCAUGUGACCUUGGCUACAUCAUGUAAGUUCUCUGAACCUCAGUUUCUUCAUCUGUGAAAUGAAGAAUUUGAACUUGAUCUCAAUAUCUCUGAUAACUCCAUGACUCUAUCAUUUUGGUCCAUCAACUAUUAUUUCCACUCAAGUUCUAGCCAGAAUGAAUUUCGUGUGCACACGUGCAUGCGUGUGUGUGUGCAUUUUAAGAGUUGCAUGAAAUACCGAUAACCUUCAUAGCAUCUUAUAAAAUUCAGAGAAAAUUUACUAAAAAAUAUAUAGCAAUUAACCUUUUUCUCCAAGUUUGGGGUUAAGUAGAGGAGAAAAUUGUUAAGAGAAGACGAAAAACAUCAGGUACCGCUACAGUUAAUAGAAUUUAACAGAUUAAAUACAGCAAGCAAGGUAGUGAGUGAGUUCCCAGUAUACAUUCUCAUUGAACCAGACUGCAGGGUGCUGGAGCUUGAUCACAGCCAUCACACAAGAGGAAAAUUGGAAGUCUUUCUUUGGGAACUGCACAGCAUCAUUUAUUAAAUAAGCAUCCUGGGAGCUAAAGAAUUGUUUAGUUCAACAGCAACAAGACACAUCGAGAAGAGAGGAAUGACGACAUGAGUCCUCCAAACAACUGAGCAGUUUGUUCAGCGGAGGGAAGUUAAUGUGUUAAAAAAGAAACAUCAGCUAUAAUGAUAGUAGUAAUAACAGAUUUAUAUUUGUGUUUGGGAAGCAACCAACUUCUUCAACUUCACAUCAGUGGAACAUGAGCCAAUGCUAUAUGAUUAUUCUAUUAAACAGAUGAAAAAAGCUUGAAAGGCACGUAUUCAUGUCACAUUUAUGUGUUCAAGUUUCAGUGUACCUAAUAUAACUUUAGGGGACAUAUUGAAUAUUGUAUAGAAGUUAUCCACACCUAAAACAAUGGGAGUAACUAUUUUGGUAUGAUCAAUAAUAUAGGAACAGUAAAACUCAUUUUUCAAAUAGUAGGUUCCAUGUUAUUUUAAUCCUCACAGUCCAAUGAGGUAGGCUGAAAUCAUGGUGUGAAUCCCUUAGUUAGCUGAGGAAAUCAAGGCUAAAUGGCAUGUCUUCCCUCACCUACAUAGCUACAAGCAGGAUAAAUGCCAGAAUCCAGGUCUCCUGACUUAGAAAACACAUCCUUGUGUUAUUCAUGGUUAAUAUGCAGAAGUUUCAUCUUGGAUAACUGAGUGAACUAGAACCAGUAACGUCUUUUCAGGACUGGCAUCAUAAGUUGUAUGUUCUGAUGCUCAUGCUUCCUUAUACUGACAUCUGAAGAAGCGUUCACCUAUGGUAACAGUGGUACUACUACUCAUGGGAAGUGUGCCAUUAUGGUCACAAAGCAAGCCUGGGACUCUAAGAGGAGCCAGAAUGACUGAGGAGGUGAGAGGCAGCCCCUACUCAUGUUUUUCUUUAGCUCUGCCAAAGAGGAUGCCAACCUAUCUUUCAGUUCAACUCUACAGUCAUUAAUCUCAACAUAGACAAGAAGUAUUCAUUGGUUCCUCCAUCUUGAGUACUCUUCCCCCACUCAGUUAAAUCCAACCCAGACUUCACCUUUCAUUUCAAGCACCACUUCCUUAGGGAAAGAAGCCUUCACUGACCUCUAGUCCUUUGUAAUGCGCUCUCCUUUCCUUCAGCACACUUAACUCACUGAGCAAUUAUAUAUCUACCUUGGUGAUUAUAUGAUUAUUGUCACUCUCCCCAGCUGGAGAGGUUGAAAGUCCCAUGAGAGCAGGAAUCUUAUCUGGUUUUGCUUAUCACUGUGUCCCCUGCACCUAGCAGAGUGUCUGGUCACAUAGCAGGUGCCCAGUUAGUACCUAUAUGAAUGGAUGGAUGGAUGGAUGGACGAAUGGAUGGACAGAAGGACAGACAAAUGAAUGAGCAAAUGAAUAAAUUAUACUUAGGUCUAGGAUUAGGGUGGCCAGGUAAAAUGCAGGAUGCCCCGUUAAAUUUGAAUUUCAGAUAAACAAUGAGCACUUUUUAGUAUAAGUAUGUCCCAUAGAAUAUUUGGUAUACACUUUCACUGAAAAAUUACUUGUUGUUUAUCUGGAAUUCAAAUUUACUGUAUUUUUAUUUGUAAAUCUAAAUGUUGAAGGUAGGGGAAAACUUAGAAGUGAUAGCUCAAAUGUUUUAAAAUUUAAUUUUGUUUUAAUUUUUCUUUUUUUAAUCCCAGCAUAAUUAACAUACAAUG
This is a long non-coding RNA of Mirounga angustirostris (Northern elephant seal), 9764 nucleotides long. RefSeq lists it as uncharacterized. The record is from RefSeq and is a predicted model, not a curated record. The transcript has 4 exons. NCBI's taxonomy places the organism in Eukaryota, Metazoa, Chordata, Mammalia, Carnivora, Phocidae.